CAAAUAUUAACUGAGCAUACAAAAAAAAUCAGCAGAGUUCUGAGAGAGAGAACGAGAAGAGUGUGAACCCUAAAAUCUCGAUUCCAACCACUGCCAUUCAUCUCCUCACCGCCGUUGCCGCCAUAUCUCCUCCAUCAAAGCGUCGCCGGUGGAGUUAUGAAUGGAGGACGAGGUGAUCGUGGAGCUCUCGCCUCUCGGGAUAGUAAUGCUUUAGAUCUUCCGCUUUGGCGUCAUCUUCCACGGCUGGUGCUGCCGCUGGUUCUACUUUUGCCCCAGCGGCUUAAAGCACUCAGAGCGCACUUUGGACGCGAACUCGGUGGCUCUGGAUGAGUAUAUCUAGAAGGCGAGUGAGCGAAAGAUUCUGGAAGCUUCGAUUGAAGCUGCGAUAGUGCGAUCGAAGCUAUUAAAUCUCGUGAAACUAAUUCUCAUGUCGUUUCGAGCCAUUGAGGUGAGGAUUUGUUCCUACUUUGUAAAGGUUUCCAUGAACUGAACUAGGAUCUUUAUUUGUAUGAGGUUUUUGACAAUUGAGCUUUCACCGAUUCUAAAUAAGAACAGGGCAUUUGUUGUAAGAUACCUCCACCGAUAACAUCCUAAACAAUAAUAAUAAUAAUCAUCCUAAAAAAUCUGCCUCUAUAGUUCAUUAUUAUUAGUUAUCUAUCUAGUUGCAUUAACGCUAAUUACUAAUUAGGUAUAGGUAUAUCAUAGUUGCAGGUACUUAUGGUGGAGGUAAUUAAGUUAUAGUGUUAGGAGGACCUUGACUAGUGAGUUGUCGAUUACUACAACGUAAUGCAUUACGUGUUGAGUGGAAAAUAUAUUUGUGAUUCUAUCUGCUGAUUUAGUACUUUGUCAUUCUAACUGUUGAGUUAGUACUUUGUGAUUGUUGUUAGGCAUUCUUGGUGAUAGUUUGGAAUAAAAAACGAGUUGGUUACACAUAUGAGUUGACUUUAAAGGUCAAAGGGGAAUUGAAUUUGAGAGGAGAGAAGUCGGUUGGAGGCCAUAUAGAUGUCCCAGAAUUCUCGUUUGGCGAAUUGGAUGACUUGCAGUAGUCAUUUUUGUUCAAUUUGAAGCACUGAAAAUUAAAUUUACCAGAUGGGCCAUGCAACAAUCAAGAGGUAAUAACCUAUUAAGAGCUCUAAUUUUAUCCUUCUUGUUUACAUAACUCUGCACUGAUUUACAAUAUCAUAUAUCUUUAGUGCCCUAUUUCUUUGAUUCACUUUAAAAUUAGUAACUUUUAUUAUAUAUAUAGAUUUCUGUAGUUGAUCUUAUGGGACUUCUAUUACCAAAGAAAAAUCUCAAAUUCAAAUAUGAUUGUAUUUUGAUCUAUAUCAGCCUUCCUUAAAAGUCAAGUUAGUUCAUAUAAUUCAAUUUCUGAUGUUCUUAGCUUUUGCAGCAUAAAGUUUGUUCCUCAGAUCAACCAAGAUGGAAGCCAGCCAAGAGGCUUGGAUUUUGUUUGUUCCAGUUCAAUAUAACAACAGUUGACUUCUGAAUUUCGUAAUAAAUGUUGAGUUUCUACCUUAUUUCCUAUCCUCUUAUUCCUGUUUUAGUGUCUUCUUCUUUUGUUUAAUUUCAUUGAUCAUAUUAUCCUUUAAUUUCUCGACAGAUAAUAAUUAUAAUUGAAGUGGAUACUGAUUUUUCUUAUCAGUUUCUUGCUAUUGCUUUCAGACAAGCGCUUGUUGAGAUCUUUAUUUCAAGGUGAACUUGAGUUGCCAUUUCUAGCACUUCUCUUGGUCAUCCUUUCCCAUUAUGAGGUCAUGAGAUUUAGGAACACAAAAGAAGGUGCUAUCAUUUCAUUAUUAAUUGCAGUGUAUUUGACUUACCAGCAUUUCUCAAGAACAAGUUUACAGAAAUCACUUGAUCAAGGUUCAAUUGUUGCCACCAUAGCUGUUGUUUGUAUCACUAUUGCAUCUUUGUUGUUUCUGAUCUGAGUUGCUUUAGAAUGAUGUAGACUCAUAAUAUAUUGUACAUAAUAAUGCUUGACAGUGGCGAUCAUUGUGUAAUAUAUCAUAGCUGGAUUCUGUACUUUUUUCAUUAAUUAUUACAGAUUCAAAUAAAGAGGUUAGCUUUGUUU
Arachis duranensis is the source of this 2068-nucleotide RNA transcript. RefSeq lists it as uncharacterized. The transcript has 6 exons. Lineage: Eukaryota; Viridiplantae; Streptophyta; Magnoliopsida; Fabales; Fabaceae. The record is from RefSeq and is a predicted model, not a curated record.